AGAUUUUGAGUUGGUUCAAUUUAUAACUUGCAUUUAUAAGAAAUAUAUUUAAAAUAUAUAAAAUCUU
RNAcentral lists this transfer RNA (67 nucleotides) under Metacrangonyx sp. 2 MDMBR-2012. RNAcentral's name for it is "transfer RNA Alanine". The record is from RNAcentral. Lineage: Eukaryota; Metazoa; Arthropoda; Malacostraca; Amphipoda; Metacrangonyctidae.